RNAcentral lists this transfer RNA (79 nucleotides) under Isochrysis galbana. It matches the Rfam family "tRNA". From Rfam's summary of the family: Transfer RNA (tRNA) molecules are approximately 80 nucleotides in length. Their secondary structure includes four short double-helical elements and three loops (D, anti-codon, and T loops). Lineage: Eukaryota; Haptophyta; Isochrysidales; Isochrysidaceae. The record is from RNAcentral.
GACGUGGCUGAGCGGUUUAAGGCAACGGUUUGCUAAAUCGUCAAAUAUUAUAUAUUUCACAAGUUCGAAUCUUGUCGUC